Molecule: transfer RNA, 72 nt
Filed under: Camelus bactrianus (Bactrian camel)
Lineage: Eukaryota; Metazoa; Chordata; Mammalia; Artiodactyla; Camelidae
Also listed under: 2 other names
Rfam family: tRNA
About the family: Transfer RNA (tRNA) molecules are approximately 80 nucleotides in length.
Source: Rfam by way of RNAcentral
GAGGGUAAAACUCAGUGAUAGAGUGCUUGCGUAGCGAGCAUGAGGUUCUGGGUUCGAUCCCCAGUACCAACG